This 440-nucleotide ribosomal RNA is filed under the name uncultured bacterium. Its description in RNAcentral is "partial 16S ribosomal RNA". It matches the Rfam family "Bacterial small subunit ribosomal RNA", at positions 338 to 795 of the family's 1533-position model. The record is from RNAcentral.
ACUACGGGUGGCAGCAGUGGGGGAUAUUGCACAAUGGGGGGAACCCUGAUGCAGCGACGCCGCGUGGGUGAAGAAGCGCCUCGGCGCGUAAAGCCCUGUCAGCAGGGAAGAAAAUGACGGUACCUGAAGAAGAAGCCCCGGCUAACUACGUGCCAGCAGCCGCGGUAAUACGUGGGGGGCAAGCGUUAUCCGGAUUUACUGGGUGUAAAGGGGGCGCAGACGGCGAUGCAAGCCAGGGGUGAAAGCCCGGGGCCCAACCCCGGGACUGCUCUUGGAACUGCGUGGCUGGAGUGCAGGAGGGGCAGGCGGAAUUCCUGGUGUAGCGGUGAAAUGCGUAGAUAUCAGGAGGAACACCGGUGGCGAAGGCGGCCUGCUGGACUGCAACUGACGUUGAGGCCCGAAAGCGUGGGGAGCAAACAGGGUUAGAUACCCGGGUAGUC